CACAGUUUUACUCUAAUUUUGGUCUAGUAUUUUGUUCUUAAUUACUUGGAAAAGAGAACACCUCCAUGGCUGAACUCAUUCUCAAAGAAUGGUCAUAAAUCCUCAAGAUAUUUGAAUCAUUACCCUAACUGCAUAGUUUGCAGGAAGAUGCUGAAAUAAUACAACAAACUACAAAACUUUCAGUAACUUAUAAAUGAACUCAAGCAUUUGUCCCAACCUGUGCAGGACAUUAUGUGCACAGCUGAGACCUUCUAGGGAUCAGCCAAGCAGGUUGUAGAUAGCAUAUUGACAUCAGUUACCUUCAGCUGGAACUGUUGCUGCUAUGGAAGAGUUUCUUAUUAAGUGCUUGAGAAGAAACCUUGAAAAGAAGUCAGAC
Molecule: long non-coding RNA, 376 nt
Filed under: Anser brachyrhynchus (Pink-footed goose)
Lineage: Eukaryota; Metazoa; Chordata; Aves; Anseriformes; Anatidae
Description: lncRNA (ENSABRG00000017737.1)
Source: RNAcentral